RNAcentral lists this ribosomal RNA (491 nucleotides) under uncultured bacterium. RNAcentral's name for it is "partial 16S ribosomal RNA". It matches the Rfam family "Bacterial small subunit ribosomal RNA", at positions 30 to 506 of the family's 1533-position model. The record is from RNAcentral.
AGUGAACGCUGGCGGUAGGCCUAACACAUGCAAGUCGAACGGCAGCACAGUAAGAGCUUGCUCUUACGGGUGGCGAGUGGCGGACGGGUGAGGAAUACAUCGGAAUCUACUUUUUCGUGGGGGAUAACGUAGGGAAACUUACGCUAAUACCGCAUACGACCUACGGGUGAAAGCAGGGGAUCUUCGGACCUUGCGCGAUUGAAUGAGCCGAUGUCGGAUUAGCUAGUUGGCGGGGUAAAGGCCCACCAAGGCGACGAUCCGUAGCUGGUCUGAGAGGAUGACGGCCCAAGGUGAAGAUGAGAAACGGGCAAGCCACCGAGGGGGGGCACAGGUGGGGAAUUUGGGAAAAGGGGGGAAAGCCUGACCCACCCUUCCCGGGUGGGUGAAGAAGCCCUUGGGGUUGUAAAGCCUUUUUGUGGGGAAAAAAAACCAGCGGGUUAAACCCCCGUUGUUUGGGGGGUACCAAAAAAAAAAGCACGGGCAAAUUUGGU